This 740-nucleotide long non-coding RNA is filed under the name Felis catus (domestic cat). Its description in RNAcentral is "lncRNA (ENSFCAG00000053633.1)". The record is from RNAcentral. Lineage: Eukaryota; Metazoa; Chordata; Mammalia; Carnivora; Felidae.
GCUCUUCCCCGGAAUCGCCCGGAAUGGGACUUUUUAAGACAUCUUGGUUUAAAUCCUAGCCAAGUGCCAAGGCGGUGUGGGCGUAGGCGGAGCGGGACAAACCACCUCAUUAGCACCUGCAGCACAGGGAGGACUGCCUGAACCGAGUGGUUUGGAACACCUGGAACGUGGAGGAAAGACUGGGGUGUUGCCAUUUUUCUCCCCAUCACAAACAAGGUAUAUGGUGGUAAAGUGUCCCAGGUGGAUUGACAGCUUAUACAAAGAUAUAGUAGGAGAAAACAAGAAAAUUAUGAGAACUACAGGGAAGCCAGCAAGACUGGAAUUCAGGAAAUGAGUCUAUACUAAUUCCACAAGGUCAACUGUCAAGAUAGCUCUGAUGCCCAGGAUACAGAGUCUCAUGUGAAUCAGCACCAAGUAAAGCACUGAGCUAGGAAAGUCACUUUCUGAAGGUGUCCGGGGCCCUAACUUUGCAAGUCACUUCAAGGAGAAGGUAGGGGAAAGGAUAUAUUUACUCUUCCUAUACCUUAAGAACGACUUCUUCUUUUCCUUCUCCUCCUCCUCCUCCUCUUCCUCCUCCUCCUCUCAAUUCUACCAGAUGGAGAUGUUGGUGAUCUGUUAAUCCCAGAAGCUAUCAAGCCAAAAACUCUGAAUUGCACCCCAUCAUAUUCCUAGUGGAAAGUGUAACCUGGGGAAAAAAAAGGGUUACAAGUCAAAAUCUAAUGAGGAGAUUCUAAACCAAG